GCGACGCGUGCUUUCUCGUAGCCUUGGGGACCAUCCGUCCGCCUCUGGCUGGUGGCCGUCCGGGCCCGUGGGGGUGUCGCGUGCCUUCCACUGCCACGGGCGCCAGCGUGCGGGGGCGGGAACGCCUCCGCGGGGCCCGAGACCUCAGGGACAGCUUGCACCCUGGAGGCCGAGGGAACUUGACCCCACGCGGGCUCCAGGGGUGUCCCUGGGAAAUGAGAAGUCGCCAGCUUCCGGCGAUCGGGGCAGGGAGGGCGCACGUGGUUAUUGUCCCCUGCUCCUCUUCGAUGACGUUCGAGUGACCUCGGUUUGGGGGGUCCAGGUACGCCAAGGCUUGGGGGCCACGGGUCUAAGGCGCACGGUCUGGCGAAAGGCUCCUGUGUUGCUGAACCUGCCCAGCGGCGGGUGCGGCCCGUACCAGGCAGCCCUGCCGUGACCUAGAGUAAGUGCCCGGGACAGUGUCUCCUGGGCUUUGAACUUGCAGUAACAGGUGUGAACAUGCUAGCAGCAGUUUGAUGAUCAUGUAUGAUACUGCAAACAAGACCGAGCUCAGAGAUCGGAAAACUGCCGGGGUUUCUGAAUCCCGUGAAUGGUGUGGACGUAAUAAAUACUUACUGGUGCUUGGCUGGGGUGGGGGAGGGGGAGCACAAGCCUACGUGUUAAGGAUACGGAAAAAACGCAGCAGCGUGGUCCUUGUUCUCUCCCAGCUACCGCCCAGUGGGAGAGACGAGGUCAUGUGAUCGCAGGACGGAGGGUGAGGGGAGCACAGGUUUCUAUGAGAGCGCGUGUCACGGUAGCCUGAUGGACACUGGGAUGCAUUCCUGAGGCUGGGGCCCUGAGCUGGACCCGGAGGGGUGGGUGGGAGUUGGGUGGGAAGGCCCCGGGCAGCAUGUCCAGACGCCCAUGGCCCAGCAGGUGUGGCGGGCAGAGGUCCGGACAGGAGGCUGCCGCAGCCGAGACAGCACGGCGAGAACCGUGUGGGACGGAGCUCAAAGGGUGGGAGUGGGCCGGGCCACAGGGGGUCUUUGCUAAGCAUGUGGGAAGUGGUCAAGGGUUUUAAACCAGAGGGUGGUGUGCGGAAACCCGCCAUUUCUAAAGAGCGCCCUCUGCAGAAGGACGCCGCCUGACUUCCGCAGCGAUGGAGGCGCUCUGCGUCUGCGCAGUCCGGCCGAGCGGCCGCAGUCCCGGGGCUCGUGAGCACUUGCAGGGCGGCUGGUGCGACUGCGGAGCUGGCUUUUCAAAGGUCAGCCUGCUCCGGGGGGAGCGGCACUCUCCCUCCUCCCUGCUCUGCCUGCGUUGUCGUCGGCGCACGGGUUGAGGGGUCACGUCUUCAGCAUAUCCAAGCACCGUGGGGCGGAGCGCCACACCUGUCCCUCGGAGGGUGUGAAGAGCAGCGGUCCCUGGCAGUGAGAGACUUGGACUGAGAGAGGUGGGUCCAUGGCAUUGGGUGUUGGGGGCGUCGGGAAGAAACAUGUUUGGGGGACCCUUCAGGCUGGGGCCCUGGAAUGGCUGUUUCCAGCUGAUGACACACGAGACAAGAGGAGAGGCCGUGGGGAGCUCAGGGCCUGGGGGCGCGGUGGGGAGCCCAAGGCUGGGGGAGGGGAAGAGAGGUGCAGGAAGGAGUGGGCCGGCGUCGGGUAACAGGCCUCGUGGGACCCUGGGUGUGUUGUGGGUUUGGUGCAGGUGGGUGUCUGAGGGAGACUGGGGGGUGGGGUGCACGUGCCGGCCUUGGGGCUUCGGAUGCCCCUGAGUAACUUUCAGUAGGAGGGGACCAGCCCUCCGGGUUGGGGACCCCUAAAGAUGGGGAAAGAGGAGGGGCUGAUCAGAGGAGGGUCCCUUCAGGGCACCUUCCACACUGUAUUCUGGGGGAGGUAGAUUCUAGGUUUCCGAGGGUGCUCUGUGGCACCCCCGCUGAGAACUCUCUGGAGGUUCAGGUUUGCUUGUGCAGGAUCAGGCUGACGGAUACACUUUCUUCGCAGGGUUCGCCGGACGGCCCGUGCGUGGCCACGGGCAGGUCUGCCCAUGUCCUCUCUGCCUGGUCCUCCGAGCCUGGAAGGUGGCCACUCCGCUUCGGGGCCUUCCUUCCGGGUCAGCUCGGGUUCCCCGUGAACCGCACCGUUGUUGGACGCUGACCUGCGUGCGACCCUGUUUGUGUGGCUGUAAAUAAACGGAGUCGGACUCCAGCAAGACUCUGCAC
Molecule: long non-coding RNA, 2197 nt
Organism: Phyllostomus discolor (pale spear-nosed bat)
Lineage: Eukaryota; Metazoa; Chordata; Mammalia; Chiroptera; Phyllostomidae
Exons: 3
Source: RefSeq, a predicted model, not a curated record